This 75-nucleotide transfer RNA is filed under the name Methylomirabilis sp. (SeqCode). RNAcentral's name for it is "tRNA-Val". It matches the Rfam family "tRNA". From Rfam's summary of the family: Transfer RNA (tRNA) molecules are approximately 80 nucleotides in length. Their secondary structure includes four short double-helical elements and three loops (D, anti-codon, and T loops). RNAcentral also lists the same sequence under 1 other name. The record is from RNAcentral. Lineage: Bacteria; Methylomirabilota (SeqCode); Methylomirabilia (SeqCode); Methylomirabilales (SeqCode); Methylomirabilaceae (SeqCode).
GGGCGAAUAGCUCAGCGGGAGAGCACCUGCCUUACAAGCAGGGGGUCGGAGGUUCGACACCUCCUUCGCCCACCA